This 466-nucleotide ribosomal RNA is filed under the name uncultured bacterium. RNAcentral describes it as "partial 16S ribosomal RNA". It matches the Rfam family "Bacterial small subunit ribosomal RNA", at positions 28 to 508 of the family's 1533-position model. The record is from RNAcentral.
GACGAACGCUGGCGGCGUGCUUAACACAUGCAAGUCGAGCGAGGCCCCUCCUUCGGGAGGGUGUCCUAGCGGCGAACGGGUGAGUAACACGUGGGCAACCUGCCCUCAGCUCUGGGAUAACUCCGGGAAACCGGGGCUAAUACCGGAUACGACCUCCACGGGCAUCUGCGGAGGUGGAAAGUUUUUCGGCUGAGGAUGGGCCCGCGGCCUAUCAGCUAGUUGGUGGGGUAGUGGCCCACCAAGGCGACGACGGGUAGCCGGCCUGAGAGGGCGACCGGCCACACUGGGACUGAGACACGGCCCAGACUCCUACGGGAGGCAGCAGUGGGGAAUAUUGCGCAAUGGGCGAAAGCCUGACGCAGCGACGCCGCGUGAGGGACGAAGGCCUUCGGGUUGUAAACCUCUUUCAGCAGGGACGAAGCGAAAGUGACGGUACCUGCAGAAGAAGCACCGGCCAACUACGUGC